AGCAUAUGCCUUGUGUGCAUUCUUCGGCAUCCAAGUUCUCUUUGGCAUUGUAAAGGUCAAAAAAUUUGAUCAACGGGAAAGGUUGAUAGCCGGAACUGCAUAAAGAAAUGGUUCUGGAGAGACAGACAAAGAGCCCAGCAGACCACAGACUGGGUGAGGUCACAGAUCUGCCUAGCGUCAGAGUCACCUUUCAUCUACAGCGC
RNAcentral lists this unclassified non-coding RNA (203 nucleotides) under Hevea brasiliensis (rubber tree). The record is from RNAcentral. Lineage: Eukaryota; Viridiplantae; Streptophyta; Magnoliopsida; Malpighiales; Euphorbiaceae.